Hippocampus comes (tiger tail seahorse) is the source of this 267-nucleotide long non-coding RNA. RefSeq lists it as uncharacterized. The transcript has 3 exons. NCBI's taxonomy places the organism in Eukaryota, Metazoa, Chordata, Actinopteri, Syngnathiformes, Syngnathidae. The record is from RefSeq and is a predicted model, not a curated record.
UGUGAUCUGGAGAAAACACGAGACGAGACAUGGACAGGUCCGCCUUGUUUCCUAUGAGGAUGAUCACCUGUCGUGAGAGACGCGGACGGGAGGAAUGAGAGGACGAAUGGACGUCAAGUCAACCAAAGCUGCGAUAAGCGGGACGUCGCCGAUGAUGUCGUGCUACUUUCCAUUGUGGCAAGAGGAAGAGGAGCGAGACUGACGGAACUCAUGACAUCCAGACAUCCUGAAACUACUUUGUGACUCAUUUGAAGUCAGCAGAAUUCC